Molecule: ribosomal RNA, 468 nt
Filed under: uncultured bacterium
Lineage: Bacteria
Description: partial 16S ribosomal RNA
Rfam family: Bacterial small subunit ribosomal RNA
Source: RNAcentral
GACGAACGCUGGCGGCGUGCUUAACACAUGCAAGUCGAACGGAAAGGCCCUGCUUUUGUGGGGUGCUCGAGUGGCGAACGGGUGAGUAACACGUGAGUAACCUGCCCUUGACUUUGGGAUAACUUCAGGAAACUGGGGCUAAUACCGGAUAGGAGCUCCUGCUGCAUGGUGGGGGUUGGAAAGUUUCGGCGGUUGGGGAUGGACUCGCGGCUUAUCAGCUUGUUGGUGGGGUAGUGGCUUACCAAGGCUUUGACGGGUAGCCGGCCUGAGAGGGUGACCGGCCACAUUGGGACUGAGAUACGGCCCAGACUCCUACGGGAGGCAACGGAGGGGAAUAUUGCACAAUGGGCGGAAGCCUGGUGCAGCAACGCCGCGUGCGGGAUGACGGCCUUCGGGUUGUAAACCGCUUUCGCCUGUGACGAAGCGUGAGUGACGGUAAUGGGUAAAGAAGCACCGGCUAACUACGUG